Molecule: transfer RNA, 74 nt
Filed under: Candidatus Nanosalinarum sp. J07AB56
Lineage: Archaea; Methanobacteriati; Methanobacteriota; Candidatus Nanohaloarchaea
Rfam family: tRNA
About the family: Transfer RNA (tRNA) molecules are approximately 80 nucleotides in length.
Source: Rfam by way of RNAcentral
GUGAGGGUAGGUUAGCUGGCCCAUACUACGGGACUGUGGCUCUCGUGACGCGGGUUCAAAUCCCGCCCCUCGCC